GGAUUGUAGCUCAGUGGUAGAGUGCUUACCUAGCAUGUGUGAGGCACUGGGUUCUAUCCUCAGCACCA
This 68-nucleotide transfer RNA is filed under the name Marmota monax (woodchuck). RNAcentral's name for it is "tRNA.Ala". The record is from RNAcentral. Lineage: Eukaryota; Metazoa; Chordata; Mammalia; Rodentia; Sciuridae.